GCCCUCAGUAACGGCGAGUGAAGCGGGCAAAGCUCAACCUGAAAAUCGGUUCUCCAAGCGGGGUAUCGAGUUGUGGGCUACAGAUGCGUGAUCAGUGUGUGACUCAGGUAUAAAUCUUUUGAAACAAGGUAUCAUAGAGGGUGAGAAUCCCGUCUUUGACCUGAAGAUUCGCCACGUACGAUCCGUAGUCAUAGAGUCGAGUUGUUUGGGAUUGCAGCUCUAAAUGGGUGGUAAAUUUCAUCUAAAGCUAAAUAUCGACGAGAGACCGAUAGCGAACAAGUACCGUGAGGGAAAGAUGAAAAGAACUUUGAAAAGAGAGUUAAAAAGUACUUGAAAUUGCUAAGAGGGAAGCACUGGAAACCAGUAUUGACCUGCAUGUAUCUUUAGGCGUUGCUACUUCGUCUGCGCAGUUGUUCGGAGCCCAAAGCCCGACCGCAGUGUAGAAGGAGGUGUGGCGCUGUCGUACGGUAGGUCGGAUCAGAAUCAAUUUGAUUCGUGAGAGAAAGCCAUGGUGAUGCAUCUUCGGCUGUAGCAAUACAGAAGUUGGUGAUCCUGUGGUGCUAUCAUGGAUUGGAUUGAGGUACAAUCGUAAUGCGCACCACUAGGUAGCGGUUCCCUGACCCUGGCUGGUUAGAAGAUUUGGAGAACAAAGUUCUGCUAUUUUCGAAGCCUUCUACUGGAAAGGAUGAGCCAGCAGCAGCAUUCGAGAUUCUGAUGAAAUGGUUUUCACUGACCCGUCUUGA
Molecule: ribosomal RNA, 743 nt
Filed under: uncultured Cercozoa
Lineage: Eukaryota; Cercozoa
Description: eukaryotic LSU rRNA
Rfam family: Eukaryotic large subunit ribosomal RNA
Source: RNAcentral